This is a long non-coding RNA of Larimichthys crocea (large yellow croaker), 3049 nucleotides long. RefSeq lists it as uncharacterized. Lineage: Eukaryota; Metazoa; Chordata; Actinopteri; Sciaenidae. The record is from RefSeq and is a predicted model, not a curated record. The transcript is spliced from 4 exons.
AUAUAACUGAAAUAGAUGCAGUUGCCUUAAAACAAAAGUGAAGUUUAUAUUUACUAUGGUCUUUGAAUGCAUCACACCCUUCAUGUUAGGUUGAAUAGCGUUUGUCCAGGUUUAGAUCGAACUUGGUUUUGAGUUGUUUUCAUUCAUUGGUUGUUUAAUGUUUUGCCUGCCAAUAGGCGUCUGUUGUUUGAUUGAGGGGCGGGAUUUUAGCUGCUGGGUCCGAAAAUGUCCGUGAGCGUCAAUGUUUUUUUUCUUUGCCAACAAGCUGAGAAAAGCCCGACAGAGAGAGAGAGUUGUCCGACAGAGGGGAGUUUUGGAUAAAAAGUAUAUUUUAAUUGGAGCUGACGAAAAGUUAAUCCGAAAACUACUUAGAAUUCAUCUUCCCAGGAGACGACGAGAGUGGGACCCGUGCUGGCUGCAGUUUCCCAGAAGGAUGGCGCACAUCUGUUCCCUCGCUGCUGUUCAUCCUCGCCACCCCUUGACAAUUUCCGUGCCUACGGUUGGACGCCAUUUUGUUUAAACUGACUUCGAGAAACACCGAUUAAAAAGACUUUAACACCAUACAGCAGACUGAUUGGAGCCUCGCUGGCGGACAAGCAGGCACCAGUGUUACAGGAGCAAGACAGACAGCAGCAGACUGGCAGCAGCAGCAGAGAGAGAGAGAGAGGGCGAGAGCAGAAAGGGAGAAGAAAGAACAGAUGCAAAGGUGAAAACACGAAAGGACAGGGUGAUGCUUGUAAAGGGCAGGAAGGGAAGGAGAGAUGAUGGAUAAAUGAUCAGAGGAGAACGGACAGUUGUAGCAAAGAAGAGGUGUAAAGACUACUGAAUAAUGGAGAAGAAGAAUAAGAGUAAUAAUAUGAGAUUUAAAGAAAGAGGAGAGAAAAGGUUAAGGAGGAAAAGAGAGUCUUAAGGGGAAAAGGUGAGACUGAGUCACGUUGGUGUUGAUGUGCAACAUCCCCACUGCGCUGGUUCCUCUCUUCACAUCACAUACACCACAGGUUUCUGUGUGUGUGUGUGUGAGUGUUUUUUGACUAUCAGCUGCGCCCCUCCUCUCCUCUCCUCUCAGAGCAUGUCCGCAAGUUCCUUUUUUUAGUUUGGAGGAGGAAAACGGAGCUUUUGGAAAACUAGCACAUAACCCCGGACAAAGGCUGUGCGACAGGAAACAAAUUAUGAAGAUAACUCUCUGUCGCCUCUAAAGGUGACAUUUACUCCAACAGAAGUGCUUUUUGGAUGGUUGAAACCCAACCUCACGCUACACAAGUCGGAAUUUAGAGAGGGCUGUGUCCACUUUCCAAAAACUGACAAUCCAACGUUCACGUUCAGUGCAGCGAUUGGCCAAGUGCAUGGAUGUGGGAAGGCAGGGUUUGACUAUUUCUGUCAUGUGAACAAUGGACUGCAACACAAUGAGAAACAAAAUAUGUAUCUCUAUCUGAAAGGACAAGGGGACAUGGAAGUGUGUUGUCAUUUAUUUUUGUUUUUAUUGUGCUGGAUGUCUAAUGAUCAUAAAAGCAUCAGACAGAUACAAUUAUGGAUGUAUAAAUCAUAAGUUUGGCUCUAUCAAAACAAAAUGUGGAGCGCUUGGAGGGGGGGCUUGAACCAGCUGAGACUUAGCAGAGUAACCACAUGUUUGAUGCGAUGCACAGUUUUGUUUCUCAUUGACCAAAACAACUCAAAGAAAACUUUGCAAUUGUUUAGACAUCGCAUUGUGGGUGGUGAUCCUCAUGAAAUCCAGCUAAAAUAUGAGCGUGAACGCACCUUGUUGUCACACAUACACAUUUGGAUUUUCCAGCACAGCAUGGAUAUUUAGUGUUCAUUAGUGCUGAUGUAAUAGAGCAACUCAUAUAAACACACAUCUGUCAAAUCAUCUGUAUUCAUCCAACACACACAGGCAAACAUAGCCGCAUAGUUUGAUUGUUCAGGCAGAUUGUCCACAUGUUGAAAUAAGUAAUUACAUGCCCUUUCUCUUCCCUCAUUCUUUCAGUCAUCUAAUUUUAUAUUUUUAUAAUUAAUUCUCUUGAUUCAUUAGGAAUGGAGGAGAAGAGGGGGGAAAAAUGAGUAGGGAAGUGAGGGAUGAGAGAGGAGUGGAGCAUCUUGCCAUCUGCAUCUCCCCCCUGCAGGGCAAAACGAUGACUCUGUCUCUCCAAACUGCAGUGAAAGUACUCUGUGCACUGAAAUAAUAAAGACUUUGGACUAAAACAAGACGAAUCAAAGCAGCAUAAAGUCUCCUCAAGGCAACCUGACCAUCCCCUGCUUCACCCCUAACCCUCCUACUUCUUUUGUCUCCCUCUCACUUCUCCCCCUUCUUCACUCCAUAACAGUUUGCAUUUCUGUCAUGUUUUAUUUUGAGAUUGGUUCUGACAGCGAUGGAAACCUAAGUGUUCAAAAAGCAAAAGCCGAUAUGCUAAGAGGAGUGCAUUGGCGAUGUGGUGGGAUGGACAGAGACGGAGAGCAGACAGAGAGAGGGAUAUAAAGAGAAAAGGGGCAUUAAAGAUUCAAACUGUGAGAUGGAGACAGACACAAACUAUGGUGACAGAAAAAAAAGAGAGAAAGAAAGAGCUCUGUAAAGCUUCUUUCCUCUUCCAUUUCCAGCAAGUUUAAAGAGGAAUCACAUGAACAGUGGUGGAGGUCGCUGGUGUUGAUUUGCUGUAUACAAACAUCACACAGCAAACUAGUUAUACUAUAUGCUCUUAGUUCAAGUCUGACAAAAGGGCAUAUUGUACAGGACUUUAUGAGUUCAUCAUUCGAGACAGCGAGGCGCUCUGUUUACUAUUCUGUUACAUUUCUCUUUUUGUGUGAGUUGCAUUUUCAUAGUAACCCCCAAUACCCUCUAUUUAUUUUGAUAUUCAGAUGUAUUCAUGAGAAAGAUAUGAAGAGAAAUAGAAAUAGCUUAUCCAAAGUAUGACCAUGACCAGGAUAUUAAGCGGAUAUUCAGACUUCUGUGUGCACAAAAACACAAUUGGGCUGCCAUCUAUUGUUGGAAUCACAGAUAAGAAGAAACUUAUUAUUACUCAUUAUUAUUAUCACAUAUUAAUGUUAAAAUUAUUCUAAU